CUGAGAAACGGCUAUUACAUCUAAGGGGGGCAGCAGGGGCGUAAAUUACCCAAUCUUAAUUUAAGGAGGUAGUGACAAGAAAUACCGAACUAGCGUAAGCUAGGAUUGGAAUGGACCAAAUACAAAUCCCUUGGCGAGUAACAAUUGGAGGGCAAGUCUGGUGCCAGCAGCCGCGGUAAUUCCAGCUCCAAUAGCAUAUAUUAAAGUUGUUGCAGUUAAAAAGCUCGUAGUUGGAUAUCUGGAGUAGUUCAAUUGGCUAACACGUCAUUUGAACCAUAUCCAUCCUUCUGUUAACGCGUGUUGGUAUUCUCGUACUGGACGUGGGCUCAGAUAUUUUACCUUGAGAAAAUUAGAGUGUUUCAGGCAGGCUUGGCCGGAAUACAAAAGCAUGGAAUAAUAGAAUUUGGCGCAACUCUGUGGUUGGCCAGAGAAGCGUAAUGAUUAAUAGGAACAGUUGGGGGCAUUAGUAUUUAAUUGUCAGAGGUGAAAUUCUUGGAUUUGUUAAAGACUAACCAAAGCGAAAGCAUUUGCCAAGGAUGUUUUCAUUAAUCAAGAACGAAAGUUAGGGGAUCAAAGACGAUCAGAUACCGUCGUAGUCUUAACCAUAAACGAUGCCGACUAGAGAUCGGAGGAGUAUAAGCUCCUUCGGGAUCUAAGGAGAAAUCAAAGUCUUUGGGUUCUGGGGGGAGUAUGGUCGCAAGGCUGAAACUUGAAGGAAUUGACGGAAGGGCACCACCAGGAGUGGAGCCUGCGGCUUAAUCUGACUCAACACGGAGAAAUUUACCAGGUCCAGACAUUGGCAGGAUUGACAGAUUGAUAGCUCUUUCUUGAUUCUUUGGGUGGUGGUGCAUGGCCGUUCUUAGUUGGUGGAGUGAUUUGUCUGGUUAAUUCCGAUAACGAACGAGACCUUAACCUACUAACUAGACGAGGAGGUUACCUAUCUCUUCGCGCUUCUUAGAGGGACUGUCUGGUCAACCUCAAGGAAGUUUAAGGCAAUAACAGGUCUGUGAUGCCCUUAGAUGUCCUGGGCUGCACGCGUGCUACACUGAUGCACACAAUGAGUUCCUAGGCCGAAAGGCCUGUGGUAAUCUUCAAUAUGCAUCGUGAUUGGGAUAGAUCUUUGUAAUUAUGGAUCUUUAACGAGGAAUUCCUAGUAAGCGUAAGUCAUCAGCUUACGCUGAUUAAGUCCCUGCCCUUUGUACACACCGCCCGUCGCUCCUACCGAUUCCGAGUGAUUCGGUGAGCCUUUUGGACCUGUCAAAAGCGGGAAAAUUAUGCGAACCAAAUCACUUAGAGGAAGGAGAAGUCGUAACAAGGUUUCCGUAGGUGAACCUGCGGAAGGAUCA
RNAcentral lists this ribosomal RNA (1346 nucleotides) under Nyctotherus velox. RNAcentral describes it as "SSU rRNA". It matches the Rfam family "Eukaryotic small subunit ribosomal RNA", at positions 396 to 1828 of the family's 1831-position model. Lineage: Eukaryota; Ciliophora; Armophorea; Clevelandellida; Nyctotheridae. The record is from RNAcentral.